RNAcentral lists this ribosomal RNA (483 nucleotides) under uncultured bacterium. Its description in RNAcentral is "bacterial SSU rRNA". It matches the Rfam family "Bacterial small subunit ribosomal RNA", at positions 28 to 525 of the family's 1533-position model. The record is from RNAcentral.
GAUCAACGCUGGCGGCGUGCCUAAUGCAUGCAAGUCGAACGGGGGUCGCUUCGGCGAUCUUACGUGGCGGACGGGUGAGGAACACGUGGCCAAUCUGCCCACCGGCAGGGGGUAGCCCGCGGAAACGCGGGGUAAUUCCGUAUACGGUCGAGGUCCGAGUGGGGACCUUGAGGAAAGGGCCUUCGGGCUCGCCGGUGGAGGAGGCUGCGGCCGAUUAGCUGGUUGGUGGGGUCACGGCCUACCAAGGCGAUGAUCGGUAGCUGGUCUGAGAGGAUGAUCAGCCACACGGGGACUGAGACACGGCCCCGACUCCUACGGGAGGCAGCAGCAAGGAAUUUUCCGCAAUGGGCGCAAGCCUGACGGAGCAACGCCGCGUGCGGGAUGACGCUUUUCGGAGUGUAAACCGCUGUUCGGGGGGACGAAGCACUGACGGUACCCCCGGAGGAAGGCCCGGCUAACUACGUGCCAGCCGCCGCCGUAAAA